RNAcentral lists this unclassified non-coding RNA (737 nucleotides) under Stylophora pistillata. RNAcentral's name for it is "ankyrin-3-like, transcript variant X1". The record is from RNAcentral. Lineage: Eukaryota; Metazoa; Cnidaria; Anthozoa; Scleractinia; Pocilloporidae.
UUAGAAAGCUGACGUGGAGUGAAAGAGACAUAAGAAAAGAAUAGUAGAAGGAAAAAGACAGGUUUCAAGGAAAUUCAAAAGCACGUGAAAAGAUUAGCGAAGAUCAUUUACAGCAAAGGUACAUGACUUCAGUAAUGGAAUCCCUGAAAUCUCCUGUGUAAUCUUCAAGUUCGCUGCUACUCUUUACGUGUGCAUUGAGGCCAAUCACCCCCAAAGCCUUUCAGAAAGGAAUUAAGCUUGCUUAUAACCAUCACUCCAGUAAAUCUGGUAAAGUAAAAAAUUAAAGUAAAACUAAUUAGAUGUAGCUUUGUGAGAAAGAGUUGCUUUAUUUGUUAAAAUACAUGUAAUGGUAAACAACUUAGCCUGCAAUAAGUAUGUGUUAUGGAUUGAUAGAAUGCAGAAUUAACAUGUAGUCUACAUUAUUGCACUUCUAUAAGACAAAGUGUAUAAUUACAGAAAACACAUGAUCUUUUUCAGACUGAUACAUGCACAUGUAGAAAUAAACCUGCUGCAUCCAUCCCUAAUCAUAAUAUCACAGUAUUGUGUUGUGCUCUAUGCUUCAUACCCUGGUGAAAAUCUUUGGAGGAUCUUUGAAGAUUUGCAUGAGGACCUUUGAGGAUCCUCCCAAGGAUCUUCAUGGAGAUCUUUAAGAAAUCUUUGAGGAUCUUAACAAUUCUUGUUAAGAUCUUCAAGGAUCUUUCAUUUUCUUGCCGAGAUCCUCAAGGAUCUUUCAUUUU